This 239-nucleotide ribosomal RNA is filed under the name uncultured bacterium. Its description in RNAcentral is "partial 16S ribosomal RNA". It matches the Rfam family "Bacterial small subunit ribosomal RNA", at positions 95 to 334 of the family's 1533-position model. The record is from RNAcentral.
CCGGCGCACGGGUGAGUAACGCGUAUACAAUUUACCUUAUACAGGAGGAUAGCCUUUAGAAAUGAAGAUUAAUACUCCAUGGCAUUAUGAUAUGGCAUCAUAUUAUAAUUAAAGAUUUAUCGGUAUAAGAUGAGUAUGCGUCCUAUUAGUUAGUUGGUAAGGUAAUGGCUUACCAAGACUUCGAUAGGUAGGGGUCCUGAGAGGGAGACCCCCCACACUGGUACUGAGACACGGACCAG